GAUCCUGGCUUAGGAUGAACGCUAGCUACAGGCUUAACACAUGCAAGUCGAGGGGCAGCAUAAUCGAAGCUUGCUUGAUUGAUGGCGACCGGCGCACGGGUGAGUAACGCGUAUCCAACCUUCCCCAUACUAGAGGAUAGCCCGGCGAAAGUCGGAUUAAUACUCUAUGUUGUAUUUAGAAGACAUCUGAAGAAUACCAAAGGUUUACCGGUAUGGGAUGGGGAUGCGUCUGAUUAGCUUGUUGGCGGGGUAACGGCCCACCAAGGCAACGAUCAGUAGGGGUUCUGAGAGGAAGGUCCCCCACAUUGGUACUGAGACACGGACCAAACUCCUACGGGAGGCAGCAGUGAGGAAUAUUGGUCAAUGGGCGAGAGCCUGAACCAGCCAAAAGUAGCGUGCAGGAUGACGGCCCUAUGGGUUGUAAACUGCUUUUGUACGGGAAUAAAGUGCGGGACGUGUCCCGUUUUGUAUGUACCGUAAGAAUAAGGACCGGCUAAUUCCGUGCCAGCAGCGGC
RNAcentral lists this ribosomal RNA (515 nucleotides) under uncultured bacterium. Its description in RNAcentral is "bacterial SSU rRNA". It matches the Rfam family "Bacterial small subunit ribosomal RNA", at positions 15 to 518 of the family's 1533-position model. The record is from RNAcentral.